RNAcentral lists this ribosomal RNA (443 nucleotides) under uncultured bacterium. Its description in RNAcentral is "partial 16S ribosomal RNA". It matches the Rfam family "Bacterial small subunit ribosomal RNA", at positions 338 to 795 of the family's 1533-position model. The record is from RNAcentral.
CCUACGGGAGGCAGCAGUGGGGAAUAUUGGACAAUGGGGGGAACUCUGAUCCAGCGACGCCGCGUGAGUGAAGAAGUAUUUCGGUAUGUAAAGCUCUAUCAGCAGGGAAGUAAGAAAUGACGGUACCUGACUAAGAAGCCCCGGCUAACUACGUGCCAGCAGCCGCGGUAAUACGUAGGGGGCAAGCGUUAUCCGGAUGUACUGGGUGUAAAGGGAGCGUAGACGGCGAUGCAAGUCUGAAGUGAAAGGCGGGGGCCCAACCCCCGGACUGCUUUGGAAACUGUAUGGCUGGAGUGCAGGAGAGGUAAGUGGAAUUCCUGGUGUAGCGGUGAAAUGCGUAGAUAUUAGGAGGAACACCAGUGGCGAAGGCGGCUUACUGGACUGUAACUGACGUUGAGGCUCGAAAGCGUGGGGAGCAAACAGGAUUAGAUACCCGGGUAGUC